GCUGGCGGCGUGCCUAAUACAUGCAAGUCGAGCGAACGGACGAGAAGCUUGCUUCUCUGAUGUUAGCGGCGGACGGGUGAGUAACACGUGGAUAACCUACCUAUAAGACUGGGAUAACUUCGGGAAACCGGAGCUAAUACCGGAUAAUAUUUUGAACCGCAUGGUUCAAAAGUGAAAGACGGUCUUGCUGUCACUUAUAGAUGGAUNCGCGCUGCAUUAGCUAGUUGGUAAGGUAACNNNNUACCAAGGCAACGAUGCAUAGCCGACCUGAGAGGGUGAUCGGCCACACUGGAACUGAGACACGGUCCAGACUCCUACGGGAGGCAGCAGUAGGGAAUCUUCCGCAAUGGGCGAAAGCCUGACGGAGCAACGCCGCGUGAGUGAUGAAGGUCUUCGGAUCGUAAAACUCUGUUAUUAGGGAAGAACAUAUGUGUAAGUAACUGUGCACAU
RNAcentral lists this ribosomal RNA (450 nucleotides) under Staphylococcus aureus. Its description in RNAcentral is "bacterial SSU rRNA". It matches the Rfam family "Bacterial small subunit ribosomal RNA", at positions 35 to 467 of the family's 1533-position model. Lineage: Bacteria; Bacillati; Bacillota; Bacilli; Caryophanales; Staphylococcaceae. The record is from RNAcentral.